Myotis brandtii (Brandt's bat) is the source of this 75-nucleotide non-coding RNA. The record is from Rfam. Lineage: Eukaryota; Metazoa; Chordata; Mammalia; Chiroptera; Vespertilionidae.
GGUGGUUCUCAGGUGAUGCACCCCAGAAUCGGGCUCCCUCCUCUCUGGUUCCGGGUGCAUCACCUGAGAACCGCA